UGAGGAAUAUUGCGCAAUGGCCGAAAGGCUGACGCAGCGACGCCGCGUGGAGGAUGAAGUCCGAUAGGAUGUAAACUCCUUUUGCAGGGGAUGAAUACUUCGCUACAUGCGGAGGUGACCGUACCCUGCGAAUAAGGAUCGGCUAACUACGUGCCAGCAGCCGCGGUAAUACGUAGGAUCCGAGCGUUGUCCGGAAUUACUGGGUGUAAAGGGCGUGUAGGUGGGGCUCUCAGUCGGGGGUGAAAUCCUGCGGCUUAACCGCAGAACUGCUUCCGAUACUGGAGCUCUUGAGUACGGCAGAGGGAGAUGGAAUUCAUGGUGUAGCGGUGAAAUGUGUAGAUAUCAUGAAGAACACCGGUUGCGAAGGCGGUCUCCUGGUCCGUUACUGACACUGAGGCGC
This 400-nucleotide ribosomal RNA is filed under the name uncultured bacterium. Its description in RNAcentral is "bacterial SSU rRNA". It matches the Rfam family "Bacterial small subunit ribosomal RNA", at positions 355 to 754 of the family's 1533-position model. The record is from RNAcentral.